AUACAGAGGGUGCAAGCGUUAAUCGGAAUUACUGGGCGUAAAGCGUACGUAGGCGGUUUGGUAAGUCAGAUGUGAAAGCCCUGAGCUCAACUUGGGAACUGCAUUUGAAACUGCCUGACUAGAGUGUGAUAGAGGAUAGUGGAAUUUCCGGUGUAGCGGUGAAAUGCGUAGAGAUCGGAAGGAACACCAGUGGCGAAGGCGGCUAUCUGGAUCAACACUGACGCUGAGGUACGAAAGCGUGGGGAGCAAACAGGAUUAGAAACCCCAGUAGUCC
This 274-nucleotide ribosomal RNA is filed under the name uncultured bacterium. Its description in RNAcentral is "partial 16S ribosomal RNA". It matches the Rfam family "Bacterial small subunit ribosomal RNA", at positions 523 to 796 of the family's 1533-position model. The record is from RNAcentral.